GACGAACGCUGGCGGCGUGCUUAACACAUGCAAGUCGUACGGUAAGGCCCUUUCGGGGGUACACGAGUGGCGAACGGGUGAGUAACACGUGAGUAACCUGCCCACAACUUUGGGAUAACGCUAGGAAACUGGUGCUAAUACUGGAUAUGUGCUCCUGCUGCAUGGUGGGGGUUGGAAAGCUCCGGCGGUUGUGGAUGGACUCGCGGCCUAUCAGCUUGUUGGUGGGGUAGUGGCCUACCAAGGCGGCGACGGGUAGCCGGGCUGAGCGGGUGAUCGGCCACAGGCGGAAUGAGACGCGGCCCGGACUCUUACGGGAGGCAGCAGCAGGGAACGUCCGGCAAUGGGCGACAGUCUGACCGAGCGACGCCGCGUGAGAGACGACGGUGUUCGGAUCGUAAAGAUUUGUUGUAAGAGAAGAACGGGUGUGAGAGGGGAAAGUUCACACUGUGACGGUAUCUUACCAGAGAGGGAAGGCUAACCACGUG
Molecule: ribosomal RNA, 485 nt
Filed under: uncultured bacterium
Lineage: Bacteria
Description: partial 16S ribosomal RNA
Rfam family: Bacterial small subunit ribosomal RNA
Source: RNAcentral